UGAUUUUACUUACAAAACUUUUCUCCAAACGUUUAACAAAAAUCAAAACAAAAAACAAAUAAAAACAAAAUUCUACGCCGCCGACGGCGAGGUUGUGGUGGUGUGGGUGCAGGAAGACGUCGCCGGCGAAUUCGAAUGAACCACUCCCCCGCUGUGGCUCGCCUUCCCUUCCUCUGCCGUCGUCUGCCGUCGCACCGCCGUCGCCACCGGAGCAUAAAUCCCAUUUCUCGCUUUCGCUGCCGUCGCCACCGUGUAUUUCGGUGGAGGCGGUGGCGGCACCCAUAUGCUUCCGACCACCACGAAUUGCUGCGGCGCCGAUGAGCUGCCGCUGUCUUGCAUUGCAGAAUUUGUUGGCCUUCUUGCGUGCAAUCGGUAUUUCUGUAAAUGGCUUUUGACUUCGUCGUUAGUGAGUCCAUCGACCUUCAUUAACUCUCGGAUUUGUUUUGGUGUAGCAACGUGAGGACCGCCAAGUUGUUGAAGGGCGUGAACGAAUCGCCGGUGUAACUCCGACGACCAGCACCGCCUCUGUUUUCUUUGAGUCUGGGACUCUUUAUCUUCUCGUUUACUGGUUCCACCGCCACCUUUGGAGGCGGUUUCCGCCGUCGAACUCGUUGUCGCCUCCGGAAUUGGCGAAGAACCGUCCGAUUUACCGACGACCACUGACUCUGUUUUCAAUGGAGUUGUUUUCUCCUUCUGAAAUGGUUGAAAAGCACCGCCACCGACAUUCUUUUUGACCUCAACAACCGAUGACGUCGUUUCCUUAGCAACAUCCUCUGUAACGGGAGGAUCCGGUGACUGAUUCCAAAGCUGAGCCGAUUUAAGCCAAUCCGAUCGACCCAAUUCAAUUUUCUCUGGUUUUGAUUGUUCAUCUUCUUCAAUUUCAAAAUGGGAAUUCACAGAAGGUUUGUUAAUCGGAAUAAAUUCCUCCAAAACAGGGCCAUCGCUUGAAGUAUGUUCAGAGCUGUCUGUCGACACUCCAGAUAACUGUUGCCGGCAAGAUUCAAUAGCUCUGGUGACAAGCUCCAAACAGAGGGGAAGUUCUCGCUGGAAGACCUGAAUUUUGCGGCGUUCUUGAUCCAAAGCAUCAGCAUAGUGCCUCAAAUCCAUUCCUACUCGAAUAUCCAGAAAAUUAUGAAGGAAAUCCAUGAGAAAUAACAGAAGAAACCCAGAUUGAAUUAGAGGAAAAUCGAAACAGAGAAAAGGGGAUUAUUUAAGGAAGGAGUCGGUGGGUUGGAUGAAAGUGGAACAUAGAAAAAUCCGAAGUAAGCCAAUGAGAAAGAACUGGAAAGGCGAAUAAUGGAAUCUGUAGAAUCAAGAAAAGGAAUAAACUUCCGUAAAACAAUAGAGAAAUA
Molecule: unclassified non-coding RNA, 1352 nt
Filed under: Hevea brasiliensis (rubber tree)
Lineage: Eukaryota; Viridiplantae; Streptophyta; Magnoliopsida; Malpighiales; Euphorbiaceae
Source: RNAcentral